GGGCCCAUAGCUCAGUUGGUUAGAGCAGGGGACUCAUAAUCCCUUGGUCGCAGGUUCGAGUCCUGCUGGGCCCAC
RNAcentral lists this transfer RNA (75 nucleotides) under uncultured Acidimicrobiaceae bacterium. RNAcentral's name for it is "tRNA-Met". It matches the Rfam family "tRNA". From Rfam's summary of the family: Transfer RNA (tRNA) molecules are approximately 80 nucleotides in length. Their secondary structure includes four short double-helical elements and three loops (D, anti-codon, and T loops). Lineage: Bacteria; Bacillati; Actinomycetota; Acidimicrobiia; Acidimicrobiales; Acidimicrobiaceae. The record is from RNAcentral. RNAcentral also lists the same sequence under 1 other name.